CAGUCGCCGCGGUAAUACGUAGGGUGCAAGCGUUGUCCGGAAUUAUUGGGCGUAAAGAGCUCGUAGGCGGUUUGUCGCGUCUGCUGUGAAAACUGGAGGCUCAACCUCCAGCCUGCAGUGGGUACGGGCAGACUAGAGUGCGGUAGGGGAGAUUGGAAUUCCUGGUGUAGCGGUGGAAUGCGCAGAUAUCAGGAGGAACACCGAUGGCGAAGGCAGAUCUCUGGGCCGUAACUGACGCUGAGGAGCGAAAGCGUGGGGAGCGAACAGGAUUAGAUACCCCGGUAGUCCCUGUCUCUUAUAC
Molecule: ribosomal RNA, 301 nt
Filed under: uncultured bacterium
Lineage: Bacteria
Description: partial 16S ribosomal RNA
Rfam family: Bacterial small subunit ribosomal RNA
Source: RNAcentral